UACGGAGGGUGCGAACGUUGCUCGGAAUCAUUGGGCGUAAAGCGCACGUAGGCGGUCCAGCAAGCGGGGAGUGAAAUCCCUCGGCUUAACCGAGGAAGUGCUUUCCGAACUACUGGACUUGAAUACUGAAGAGGAUCGCGGAAUUCCCGGUGUAGAGGUGAAAUUCGUAGAUAUCGGGAGGAACACCAGUGGCGAAGGCGGCGAUCUGGGCAGAUAUUGACGCUGAGGUGCGAAAGCGUGGGGAGCAAACAGG
RNAcentral lists this ribosomal RNA (253 nucleotides) under uncultured bacterium. Its description in RNAcentral is "partial 16S ribosomal RNA". It matches the Rfam family "Bacterial small subunit ribosomal RNA", at positions 524 to 776 of the family's 1533-position model. The record is from RNAcentral.